CUGCUGCCUUCCGUAGGAGUCUGGGCCGUGUCUCAGUCCCAAUGUGGCCGGCCACCCUCUCAGGUCGGCUACUGAUCGUCGCCUUGGUGGGCCUCUAUCCCGCCAACUAGCUAAUCAGACGCGGAUCCAUCCCAUACCACCGGAGUUUUUCACACUGGAAUAUGCAUUCCUGUGCGCUUAUGCGGUAUUAGCAGCCGUUUCCGGCUGUUAUCCCCGGUAUGGGCAGGUUAUCCACGCGUUACUCACCCG
Molecule: ribosomal RNA, 249 nt
Filed under: uncultured bacterium
Lineage: Bacteria
Description: partial 16S ribosomal RNA
Source: RNAcentral